UACAGAGGGGGCAAGCGUUAUUCGGAAUUAUUGGGCGUAAAGGGCGCGUAGGCGGCCAUUCAAGUGACGGGUGAAAGCCCUCGGCUUAACCGAGGAACUGCCUGUCAGACUGGAUGGCUUGAGACCGGGAGAGGUGAGUGGAAUUCCCAGUGUAGCGGUGAAAUGCGUAGAUAUUGGGAGGAACACCAGUGGCGAAGGCGGCUCACUGGACCGGAACUGACGCUGAGGCGCGAAAGCGUGGGGAGCGAUCCGG
This 253-nucleotide ribosomal RNA is filed under the name uncultured bacterium. RNAcentral describes it as "partial 16S ribosomal RNA". It matches the Rfam family "Bacterial small subunit ribosomal RNA", at positions 524 to 776 of the family's 1533-position model. The record is from RNAcentral.